CGAAAGCGUAGCUAAUACCGCAUACGCCCUACGGGGGAAAGCAGGGGAUCGCAAGACCUUGCACUAUUGGAGCGGCCGAUAUCGGAUUAGCUAGUUGGUGGGGUAACGGCUCACCAAGGCGACGAUCCGUAGCUGGUUUGAGAGGACGACCAGCCACACUGGGACUGAGACACGGCCCAGACUCCUACGGGAGGCAGCAGUGGGGAAUUAUGGACAAUGGGGGAAACCCUGAUCCAGCCAUCCCGCGUGUGCGAUGAAGGCCUUCGGGUUGUAAAGCACUUUUGGCAGGAGAGAAACGUCGCGGGUUAAUACCUCGCGAAACUGACGGUACCUGCAGAAUAAGCACCGGCUAACUACGUGCCAGCAGCCGCGGUAAUACGUAGGGUGCAAGCGUUAAUCGGAAUUAAUGGGCGUAAAGCGUGCGCAGGCGGUUCGGAAAGCAAGAUGUGAUAUCCCAGAGCUUAACUUUGGAACUGCAUUUUUAACUACCGGGCUAGAGUGUGUCAGAGGGAGGUGGUAUUCCGCGUGUAGCAGUGAAAUGCGUAGAUAUGCGGAGGAACACCGAUGGCGAAGGCAGCCUCCUGGGAUAACACUGACGCUCAUGCACGAAAGCGUGGGGAGCAAACAGGAUUAG
RNAcentral lists this ribosomal RNA (634 nucleotides) under uncultured Alcaligenaceae bacterium. RNAcentral describes it as "bacterial SSU rRNA". It matches the Rfam family "Bacterial small subunit ribosomal RNA", at positions 152 to 781 of the family's 1533-position model. Lineage: Bacteria; Pseudomonadati; Pseudomonadota; Betaproteobacteria; Burkholderiales; Alcaligenaceae. The record is from RNAcentral.